AAGCACAUAGUGUUGCUUCUCCAAUAAUAAGCACAUAGUGUGGCUUCUACAGUUAAUAAGCACAUAGUGUAGCUUCUACAGUUAAUAAGCACAUAGUGUGGCUUCUACAGUAACAAGCACAUAGUGUGGCUUCUACAGAAACAAGCCUGUAGUGUGCCCUGUGUAGCAGUGGAGCUUGGGGACUUGAACGGCUGCAGGAACGGGGGGACUAGGAAGAAAUGCUCAGAGAACCCAAGGGUGAAGUGGGGAGAGUGAUAGGCGCUCUUGAUGCCGAGUCAGUCAUUAGCCACUAGAGGGCACUGCAAGAGCACGUCCCAGACAAACCCCAUACCUUAGACCCCACCCCCCACCCCCCAAGCCUCCCUACUGGAGACUGGCUGCCUGAAGCUGAUGACUUGACACCCUCCUGGGAGUUCAGAGAACCAGAGGAAGAGAAAGUCUGGGCAAGAAAUUGUCCACCACCCAGAGAGUCCCUCAAGGGGCACACACACGGCAGGUAGAGGAAGACAGUGGCCAUUCCGAGACUCGACAGCCACAAGCUCACUCACUGCUGCUCCCAGUAGAAAGAAAACUUCACUCUGAAAGGGAUCAAGAUGGCCAUGGUGCAAAUUAUAAACCAAGUACUCGGCAGUAGGAGGCCAGGACACCAAGAGCUUCUGGCCAGCCUGGGUUACAUGGAAAUCUCAAGCAAACACAAAGGAGAAAAAGAGAGCAAAAGUUGGAGGGCCGAGCCACACUAUGUGCUUAUUAUAAAAGACACACUGUGUGCUUAUUACUGUAGCACGUGUCAAGGUCAGUGUGCAAGGAUCUGCCUUUGUAGUGGGGAUGAAGCAGAGGCUGCAUCUUCCCAUCUCCAGAGGAAGACACCAAGCAUAGAAAGAAUCAAACAAACAAACCGCUUUUGGAAAGCUUACACUAACUAUCAGGCCCAAAGAGGCUCGAGAUGUGUAGCCUACAAUACUGCCCCCCUGCUAGCAUUUCUAGCUGCACUUUGUUCCAUUUAUACAGCAAGUUUGAGAGUGGUGUGUUUUUGUCCACCUUGAGGAUACCGCUUUGUCUUCUAUUUCUGGGAAGGGACACACAGUGUUCACUCUUGGCUUGAGCCUUACUUAGGAUUGUAGGGCCAUUGUUUCUGUGGACCAGGUGCCCCUUGAAGGAAAUUUUGCUGGUGUGUCCAGAGAUGGCCCCCGUGAGCAACUGUUAAAGUUCAUUUUCCAGCAGAAACUAUAAACAGACGAGCUGUUCUCGUUCUCUCUCUCUCUCUCUCUCUCUCUCUCUCUCUCUCUCUCUCUCUCACUGCCCUCAAAUGUAGUUUAAAACCAACUCUCUCCCAUAAUGAGAUUACAGCCAAUUUUCCCCCUCUCAUUAGAUAAAUAGUUCUAAACUAGGAUCCUUGAUAUAAAAAAAAAAAGAUUAUAGCAAUGGUGGUUCCCCAUUUGAAUGUAUUUUGAGCUCAAGGCUCACUCAGGCAAAUUUCCAUCCCUUGCAAAUCACCACCAUUAUGCAAAUCAGGACACCCUUAUUGGCAUGCGAAUGUAAAAUGGAUGUUUGUUUUCAAGAUGAUGGAUUAUCUUUCCUGGUAGGGAUGCUUCGAAAAAUCUGUGAAGGGGUUCGUGUUUGUUUUCUAGAUGUUUCUGUAGGUUCUGUGGGUUGCUAACAUGGGCAACAUGGGGGGUGUAGCUCGCCAGGUCUAGACUCUCCAUCUUUUGGUGAAAGCCUCCUUGGGGUUCCGUACCGUGAAUCUCUUUCCGUGUAGCAGAAAUUCUGUCAACCAGGAGUUAUAGAGGGUGAGAGUUAGGGUUAAGGUUAUAGUAGUAAUAGAGGGUUAUAGUAAGGCUAAAACUCUGCUUUUGCUGUACCAGAAAGCUCUCUGCUGACUUCAGGGUCUUCUGAGUGCUUGCUAGAGAGCCAAGUGGCUUCUCAGAGUGAAUGCAUACUUCGUUAUACUGCUGUGUGGCUUACUAAUUGAAUAUACCCAUUCCAUCCUGUCAUUAAGUAUAGACGUUUCCUGGACAGGGGCUUCUAAGGGCUUAGCUCUUUCAUGGAGGAGUUGUCCUUGAGAAACCCACCCUGUAUUCCAGGGGAAUCUGAGCUUGGAGAAAUUUCGUAUAAUGUUGGGGUAACAUGGCUUGGGAGUGGUAGAAACAGGACAGAUACCCAGGUCCUGCUUCCACACAUUUCUUUUAAAUGUUUUUAUAUUUACUUGUUCAUGUGGGGUGGUGUGUGUGUGUGUAUAUGCACGAGUGUGUGCAUGCAUGUGUUCAUGCCACAGUACAGAGGCAGAGGUCAGAGGACACCUUACGGGAGUACAUUCUCUCCUUCUACUGAAUGGGUCCUGGGGAUUGAACUCGGGUCAUUGAGCUUGGCAGCAAGUGCUUUUAGCCAUUGAGCCAUCCAGCACCAGCACCACAUUAUCUCUAAAGGGGAACUUCUAGUUGGAGCCGUGCGUGCUAAGCAAAGCAGAUUUCCUGCUCAGGGAACAGUGCCUGGAAAGGCACGUAGACAGAGAUGUGUGAACCUGAGUGAGUUUAUUUUUCGUGUCGCUGUGACAGAAUGAUUGUCAGAGGCAACUUAAGCCAUGGCUCUGGGGACAGUGCUUCGUGGCAAGGAAGGCACGGUAGUGGGAGAGAGGAAGCUGGGGUAGGCAUGGAGAACAAACCAGUAAGCUUUGGUAAGCAGUGUUUCUCCAUUGUUGGCUGGCUGCUAGUUUUGUUUUGCUUCCUGCUUUUACCUUGACUUCCUGCCUUCGCUUCUCUCAGAUGAUGGACUGUAACCUGCAAACAAACCCCACCUACCUCCAAAUUGUUUGGGGUCAGGGGGUUUAUCUCAGCAACAGGAAACUAAGCUAGAGCAGGCUCCUCCCCGCCCUGGGACCUUAUCCGCAUCCAUCCACCCCAGACUUCGAAGGGACCGUGCUGGGGCGAGAGGCCUAGCAGAGAUGGAAUAUCUUUCCCAGGCUGAGACUAGGAAGUCCCUUGUUACCGUGUGACAUCUCAAUUUUGGUUAUUCUGGGUCCUUUUAUCUUCUUUUGAGGACAGCAGGCUGAUGUUCUUGUUGGGAGAUAACCAUUUUCCCAAUUUCCCAUUUUUUCUAGGUGCCCCGUUCUUUCUGAGAUUAUGAGGGUAUGUGUCUUAGUCAGGGUUCCUAUUCCUGCACAAACAUCAUGACCAAGAAGUAAGCUGGGGAGGAAAGGGUUUAUUCAGCUUACACUUCCACAUUGCUGUUUUAUUACCAAAGGAAGUCAGGACUGGAACUCAAGCAGGUCAAGAAGCAGGAGCUGAUGCAGAGGCCAUGGAGGGAUGUUACUUACUGGCUUGCUUCCCCUGGGUUGCUCAGCUUGCUCUGUUGUAGAACCCAGGACCACCAGCCCAGGGAUGGCGCCACCCACAGUGGGCUGGGCCCUCCUCCCUUGACCACUAAUUGAGAAAAUGCCUUACAGCUGGGUCUCAUGAAGGCGUUUCCACAACUGAGGCUCCUUUUCUGUGAUAACUCCAGCUUGUGUCAAGUUGACGCACAAAACCAGCGAGUACAGUAUAGCGCUCUCCCUCCUCCCUAGAAUUUAAUUCUUAAAAAAACAACCGAAUUGUCAAAGGAGGCACGAAUUGAUUUCAUUCCAGAAAGGCCCAGGAAGAUAACCACGUGCUUUCUUUCUGCUAUGGGAUCCAUGAAGGUGACCUCAGCAGAAUGUGUCCUUUAGGCUUCCUGCUAACCCCAGGAACAUCCCAGAGCCCCCGUGAUACAGUUUCUAUCAAGCAGACACAGAGGAAAAGUACGUACUUCCUCUCUAGGAUUAGGCUGUCCGGUUCUAUGUGUCAGUUAAAAAAUUAGUCUGUGGUAUGGACUCGGCUUUUUUGUUUUGUUUUUGAAUGAGAAUGUUUCCACAGACUCAGGCAUUUGAACACUUGGGUCCCAGUCUAUGGCACCAUUGAUGGCCUUGCUGGAGGACUUUUGUCACUGGAGUGGGCUUUGAGAAUAUAUGCGACUGUCUCUUUUCCCCCCAUUUUAAGAAUGUCUUUAUGCGUAUGGGUGUACGUCUCUGCCCUGUGUGCGUGCCUAGUGCCUUUUGAGGCAAGAAAGGGACAUUGGGACUCCUAGGACUAGAGUCACGGACAGUUGUGAGCCUUCAUGUGGGUUACUGAGACUUGAACCUGGGUUUCCCGGAGGAUCAACAGUGUUCUUAACCACGGAGACACUUCUUCAUACAUGCACAGGACGUCUUAUUUUAUUGUAAAUUGAGCAGGCUAAGCUCACAGCAAUAGGGACAAGAGUGGAGAAGCAUUUAUCAGCACCAUCUUGGUGGCAGUAGUAACACCAAUAGAGGUGACAAGAGAGUGGCUGAAGUGUUCUCGAGAGAAGCAGGAACAGAGCAGUGAGAAGCAGAGGUGGUGGUGGUGGUGUGUUUAACUGGGACAGCAGAAGCAUUCAGCAGUGGGAAAGAUGGGAGACCGGAGAGACCUUGGACCCAGGAUCAGAGAAAGGUGAUGGCGGUAGAGACGCAAAACCAUGGCGGGAUAGCAAACUUUCUAGUAAGCCUGUCUACAGUCAGAUGCCUAUAUAGUUUAAACUAGCCAGUGGCUAAUUUAUCAUUUGACAUUUGGCCUUGAUGAAAGGGGGGGGGCGCCCGUCACCCUUGGAAAUGGCUCUAGCAUCAAUCAUGUAGGAGUUGCCAUGCGCGAGCCUCGGAGAGGAUCAUGCGCAGAUGGAUCAGACCGUUUGAAAAGCGAUCAUUUGUUGUUUACAGCUCAAAGCGAUUCAGCCACAAAACGCAGGACCCAGUGAGUCCUUAACCUUUAUCAGUAAGUGGCAAAAAUAGCUGAAUAUGGUUUCCAAAGUCCAGGGAGACGAUAGUGGCCUCAGAAAGAAGAUAAUUAAUCCUAGCGCUUGGGAGGUUGAAGCAAGGUGGAUUGCUCCAAGUUUGAGGCUAGCCUGGUCUCCGUGGCUCCAGCUUCGGAAAUCAGAGCAGAGUCUAAGGAGUCCCUGACCAGGGCAGUGGAAGACGACAUGGCAUAUAAUGUGGAGGGUAGCUCCAUGAUGGGGUGGGGCAAGAUCUGUGAGAAACCUUCUGCCAGGAGUGAGUAGGUGCAUAUGGAAGGGAGAGGUAAGUAUGUCAACCAUCCAAACCCAGGCCAGAAACCAGGAAGUUUCGGGAAGCCCAGAGGAGUGGGGCUAUCCUCGGGAUGGGCGUGGUCAUCCUCAGGAUGGGCGUGGCUGUCAGAAUGCGAAGCAGAACAGUGUAUUCAACAGAAUCACCCCCCAUUCCUCCCCAGAACGUCCUACCCCUUGAACCUUCUGUGGGCUCACCUAAGUAGAACAUGGAGGUGAAAGCAACUUUCCUGCUGAUUGUCACUGUUCUACUGAGCUGGAGCAGGGCGAGCAUUGGGACACAGCCCCCAACCAACCCGACAUGGACCCAGGCUUCAAUUCGUUGCUCUUCUCCGAAGUCAGAGACAUAGUGGAACGCAUACACUUAGGGAAAAAUGAUUUUUUUCCGAUCCCUGUUAGUGCCCACAUGUUUUGCUAUUAGAUAAUAAUUAAAGAGGGGAGAAACUAUAUUUAUGCUCAUUUAUUAUCAAGGGUGAGCACUGGCCCGAGGAACCCGCAUUUUCUUUUCUUGCUUAGUGGAGGCGCUGAGCUUUUGGGAGGCAAAUGCUGUUUAUUCAACGGGUUAGGCGAAGCGAUUCAAAUUAGUUUUUAAUGGUGCUUAUUAAUUUGAUAUCUUGGGACUUCCUGAGCACGUCUGAUGUUGCUGGGGAAACAGACUUGUCUUCCAUUUGUGAUCCUAUCAGCUGAUUUGGUGUAGGGUUAGUGGGGUCCCGAGUCUGCUCUGCCACAGGGCUCGACUGUUCAGGGAGGCAGGACUCGGUUGACCGCGUUUACCCGGUGCCGUGGCCAGGCCUACUAUCUGUCAACCGAGCCCUAGAUUCCCAUUAGGACGUGUCCUCCGAUUUCUUUUUCUUUCUUUUCAGUUUUCAAAGGACAUUCGUUACAUCUGAGGGGCAUGGAGAGGCUGUAGUGUGACCUGCAGAAAGCAGAUGCCUGAACUGCCACGUGCUACCACUAGGAGGCACUGCAGGCCCACCGAUGUGCCUCGUCGCCGCACCUGCUGCCUCUGCCCAAGCCAUCUGGGUGCCCUGGACCCACCGAGAAGCACAGCUGUGUUCUCCAGCUGUGCAAAAGGAAAUGGUUGACACAGUCGCCCCUGCCCCCCGCUUGGCCCCUCACUACCUUGGUGCCAUUAAAAUAGCAAUAGUGACAUA
Non-coding RNA from Rattus norvegicus (Norway rat), 6257 nucleotides. The record is from RefSeq and is a predicted model, not a curated record. NCBI's taxonomy places the organism in Eukaryota, Metazoa, Chordata, Mammalia, Rodentia, Muridae.